Molecule: non-coding RNA, 29 nt
Filed under: Cricetulus griseus (Chinese hamster)
Lineage: Eukaryota; Metazoa; Chordata; Mammalia; Rodentia; Cricetidae
Source: RNAcentral
GAGAAGGCAUGUGCGGACGAUGGCUUCUG